UAGCAAUACCGUGGAAAGUCUAGUGGCGAACGGUUGCGUAAAACGUGGGCAAUCUGCCUUAAAGUGGGGGAUAGCUCGGCGAAAGCCGGAUUAAUACCGCAUGUGAUUACCGGAGACAUCUUCGGAACAUCAAAGUCGGGGCAACCUGACGCUUUUUGAGGAGCCCGCGGCCUAUCAGCUAGUUGGUGAGGUAACGGCUCACCAAGGCUUUGACGGGUAGCUGGUCUGAGAGGACGACCAGUCACACUGGAACUGAGACACGGUCCAGACACCUACGGGUGGCAGCAGUCGAGAAUUUUUCUCAAUGGGGGAAACCCUGAAGGAGCGACGCCGCGUGGAGGAUGAAGGUCUUCGGGUUGUAAACUCCUGUCAUUUGGGAACAAUGCUUACGUAUUAACUGUACGUGAGUUGAUAGUACCAGAAGAGGAAGAGACGGCUAACUCUGUGCCAGCAGCCGCGGUAAUACAGAGGUCUCAAGCGUUGUUCGGAUUCAUUGGGCGUAAAGGGUGUGUAGGUGGCGCGCUAAGUCGGGUGUGAAAUUUCGGAGCUUAACUCCGAAACUGCAUUCGAUACUGGCGUGCUUGAGGACUGGGGAGGAGACUGGAAUUCACGGUGUAGCA
RNAcentral lists this ribosomal RNA (620 nucleotides) under uncultured Verrucomicrobiota bacterium. RNAcentral describes it as "bacterial SSU rRNA". It matches the Rfam family "Bacterial small subunit ribosomal RNA", at positions 77 to 680 of the family's 1533-position model. Lineage: Bacteria; Pseudomonadati; Verrucomicrobiota. The record is from RNAcentral.